This is a regulatory RNA element of Clostridium pasteurianum BC1, 128 nucleotides long. It matches the Rfam family "Ribosomal protein L10 leader". From Rfam's summary of the family: This family is a putative r-protein leader autoregulatory structure found in B. subtilis and other low-GC Gram-positive bacteria. It is located in the 5' untranslated regions of mRNAs encoding ribosomal proteins L10 and L12 (rplJ-rplL). Lineage: Bacteria; Bacillati; Bacillota; Clostridia; Eubacteriales; Clostridiaceae. The record is from Rfam.
GUUAAAUAAGUAAACACUCCGUAGAUAGUAGGUGCUUAGGCGUAACGGGAAACCAACCUACCGAGGAUUCCAAUAUAUGAUCGUGUAUAUGGUCUCUUCGUUCUACGGAGAGAUCUUUAGUUUUUAAU